This 212-nucleotide long non-coding RNA is filed under the name Lathyrus oleraceus (garden pea). Its description in RNAcentral is "Pisum sativum (pea) long non-coding RNA (PSAT_LNC031194)". Lineage: Eukaryota; Viridiplantae; Streptophyta; Magnoliopsida; Fabales; Fabaceae. The record is from RNAcentral.
AUUGUUUUAAUCCUUAAAAUUCUUUUUUUCCAAAUAUUUCAGUGUUUUAAACUUUUUCAAAAUUUUGUGCAUUUUAAAUGUUUUAAAUUUAUUUUUAUUUUUCUCAGUUUUUUUGUUUUUCUCUUUCUUUUAAAAUCUUUUUGAUAAUGAGAAAGGGGAGAAAAUGCAUGGAAUAUUUAAGAAAAGAUUAAAACAUCACAACUUGAAUAAAG